Molecule: long non-coding RNA, 786 nt
Organism: Ictalurus punctatus (channel catfish)
Lineage: Eukaryota; Metazoa; Chordata; Actinopteri; Siluriformes; Ictaluridae
Source: Ensembl
GCAUGAUCAUUUUGGUCAUCAACGCGUGAAGACCUUGACUUUUUUCUUCAAUCUCCCGUUCCUGUUCACUAUGGCACUUCAUGUAAUGCCUAACUUUAGUGUGGCUUCCUCUGUGUGUGGGAGAGUGUACCCUGACUUCUUCUUAGGAGAAAUAACACAGCAGAACUCACGAAGACUGGAUUCGGAUGAAGAAGGUUUAUCAGCAAGACAGAAAAUAACCCGAACUGGUCCCAGGGAUACACACUACAUGGAGAUGUAGCUUGCAGCAAAGCACCGUCGGUUACAAUGCUCUUUAUAUACAUUUCAGGCAUGGCACCAUAUCUAACUUUAACCAAUCAUUCACAGUUCCCUUUUGGGUGCAUCCAAUCACAAUCUUCCACACAUAACCUAGUUACAUCAUUUCCCAUUACUUCUAACAGGCCCCAAGUUUUUCCAAUUAAUGCAUCUGUAGAUGAACCAUUGUGUUUCUCUUGGUUUACUUUUCCCUCCAGUGAACGUCACUAUUUGCCUAUAUGUUCUCUACCAUUUUGCUUAAUCUUUACUUACCCUCGAUGCCUUCUACCAAGGACGAGUUUUACAUUCUCCCACUGUGUCUGAAUUAUGUCUUUCAGUCCUCGGUCAGCCUUACAGCCUUUUAUUUCUCUUAACUCUUAUUUCUGUGCUGCUAUGAGCUAGGAAGUGCGGUUUACCACAGAGUAUCCAGGUGCCUGGAGAGUCUAAAUGAACAUACACACUGACACACAUGCUGUUCACAGAGACUUCCAGUUUAUGUAGUCUAGAACAGAA